AUGCUCCUGGGACGCAGCAGUGGGGGAUAUUGCACAAUGGGGGGAACCCUGAUGCAGCGACGCCGCGUGGGUGAAGAAGCGCCUCGGCGCAUAAAGCCCUGUCAGCAGGGAAGAAAAUGACGGUACCUGAAGAAGAAGCCCCGGCUAACUACGUGCCAGCAGCCGCGGUAAUACGUAGGGGGCAAGCGUUAUCCGGAUUUACUGGGUGUAAAGGGGGCGCAGACGGCGAUGCAAGCCAGGAGUGAAAGCCCGGGGCCCAACCCCGGGACUGCUCUUGGAACUGCGUGGCUGGAGUGCAGCAGGGG
RNAcentral lists this ribosomal RNA (305 nucleotides) under uncultured bacterium. RNAcentral's name for it is "bacterial SSU rRNA". It matches the Rfam family "Bacterial small subunit ribosomal RNA", at positions 333 to 657 of the family's 1533-position model. The record is from RNAcentral.